RNAcentral lists this long non-coding RNA (318 nucleotides) under Setaria viridis. Its description in RNAcentral is "long non-coding RNA (SVIR_LNC004352)". The record is from RNAcentral. Lineage: Eukaryota; Viridiplantae; Streptophyta; Magnoliopsida; Poales; Poaceae.
GGGGCGAGAAUAAGUAGUCGAAUUCCACCAAAGAUAAUUGCAUUAUUAUGCUAAAAACUUACAAUGGUGGCCAGUGGCCUAUUUACAAUGUUGCAUAGUCUUCUGACUACGGAUAGAAUUGAUAGAGAUGCUCGAUGUUCCACGAGUUGUCGGCAUCUUCGCCAGAGAGGUAUUGUAGCCUAUACGAUCCUAGGCCUAUGACCUUGGAUACAAUGUGCGGCCCUUCCCAUGGCGAAUUAAGCUUGUGCAGCCCCUUGGUAUCUUGGAUAUGCUUGAGGACCAUGUCACCUAUGUUAAAAGAACAUUCUUUGACGUUGC